GGCGACGUAGCUCAGUUGGUGAGAGCGCUCGACUCAUAAUCGAGAGGUCGACGGUUCGAGUCCGUCCGUCGCUA
This 74-nucleotide transfer RNA is filed under the name Actinomyces sp. RNAcentral's name for it is "tRNA-Met". It matches the Rfam family "tRNA". From Rfam's summary of the family: Transfer RNA (tRNA) molecules are approximately 80 nucleotides in length. Their secondary structure includes four short double-helical elements and three loops (D, anti-codon, and T loops). Further hydrogen bonds mediate the characteristic L-shaped molecular structure. tRNAs have two regions of fundamental functional importance: the anti-codon, which is responsible for specific mRNA codon recognition, and the 3' end, to which the tRNAs corresponding amino acid is attached (by aminoacyl-tRNA synthetases). tRNAs cope with the degeneracy of the genetic code in two manners: having more than one tRNA (with a specific anti-codon) for a particular amino acid; and 'wobble' base-pairing, i.e. permitting non-standard base-pairing at the 3rd anti-codon position. The record is from RNAcentral. RNAcentral also lists the same sequence under 2 other names. Lineage: Bacteria; Bacillati; Actinomycetota; Actinomycetes; Actinomycetales; Actinomycetaceae.